This 451-nucleotide ribosomal RNA is filed under the name uncultured bacterium. Its description in RNAcentral is "partial 16S ribosomal RNA". It matches the Rfam family "Bacterial small subunit ribosomal RNA", at positions 354 to 796 of the family's 1533-position model. The record is from RNAcentral.
GUGGGGAAUCUUCCGCAAUGGACGAAAGUCUGACGGAGCAACGCCGCGUGAGUGAAGAAGGUUUUCGGAUCGUAAAGCUCUUUCGUUAGGGACGAACGUGCUCUUUGUGAAUAAUGAGGAGUAAUGACGGUACCUAAAUAAGAAGCCACGGCUAACUACGUGCCAGCAGCCGCGGUAAUACGUAGGUGGCAAGCGUUGUCCGGAAUUAUUGGGCGUAAAGCGCGCGAAGGCGGGAUAUCAAGUCUGUCUUAAAAGUGCGAUGCUCAACCUCGUGAGGGGACAGAAACUGGUAUUCUUGAGGGUCGGAGAGGAAAGUGGAAUUCCAAGUGUAGCGGUGAAAUGCGUAGAGAUUUGGAAGAACACCAGUGGCGAAGGCGACUUUCUGGACGAUGUCUGACGCUGAGGCGCGAAAGCUAGGGGAGCGAACGGGAUUAGAUACCCGUUGUAGUCC